UCUCCGUUGGUGUACCAGCGGAGGGAUCAUUACCGAGUUUACAACUCCCAAACCCAAUGUGAACCAUACCAAACUGUUGCCUCGGCGGGGUCACGCCCCGGGUGCGUCGCAGCCCCGGAACCAGGCGCCCGCCGGAGGGACCAACCAAACUCUUUCUGUAGUCCCCUCGCGGACGUUAUUUUUACAGCUCUGAGCAAAAAUUCAAAAUGAAUCAAAACUUUCAACAACGGAUCUCUUGGUUCUG
Molecule: unclassified non-coding RNA, 244 nt
Filed under: plant metagenome
Description: partial contains small subunit ribosomal RNA, internal transcribed spacer 1, and 5.8S ribosomal RNA
Source: RNAcentral